Molecule: ribosomal RNA, 195 nt
Filed under: uncultured bacterium
Lineage: Bacteria
Description: partial 16S ribosomal RNA
Rfam family: Bacterial small subunit ribosomal RNA
Source: RNAcentral
UGCAACUCGCCUGCAUGAAGUCGGAAUUGCUAGUAAUCGCAGAUCAGCAUGCUGUGGUGAAUACGUUCCCGGGCCUUGUACACACCGCCCGUCACACCAUGGGAGUCGGUAACACCCAAAGUUGGUAGUCUAACCGCAAGGAGGACGCCGCCUAAGGUGGGAUUGAUGACUGGGGUGAAGUCGUAACAAGGUACC